CCACCCGACUCGGUCUUGAGUCAAUCAAUCGCGGAUAGUCCGCGCACUAUCUAGCUCGAGGUGAAGGAACUCUCACAUGCACCUCAGCUGGCAACAGCUCACCGUACUCCUGUCCUAGCCGUCUGGUGGCAAACAAUCGCACCUCACCCAACAACGGCCUAGGUAAAUGACUUAGCCACCCGGCGGCGAAAUCGUCGCACAACGCCACGACAGUGGUUCAGUCAACAGGCGGUAGGAUCCACAAACUGGCUAACCAUCCGGCGGCAAAAUCAUCGCACACGCCACAACAAUGGUUCUUUAGCCCUUGGGCGGCGAAAUCGUCGCACACACCCGACACCCCUUUGGGUGUAUCAACAAGCUUUGAGAUUCCGGAAUCUAUUUCACAUUACUCGAGGGUUAGUCUUAACCCUAUGGAAUCGACCUAUCUAGGUCCAAGUCUUUACUCGACCUAAUUUAACACUUUAGGUUCGAUUCUUUUAUAUUCUUAGCCUAGGUUUAUUAUCCCUAGGACCAUCAUUCUUUCCAACCUAGGUUCACUUGACUCUAGGUUAAACACUUUUCAUUUCACUACCUAUAUUCUUUACAUUAGGUUUAACAUCAUUCUUAUUUAACCUAUGUUUAAUAACACUAGGUUCAUUUCAUAUUCAACCUAUGUUUAAUAACAUUAGGUUCAUUUCAUAUUCAACCUAUGUUUAAUAACAUUAGGUUCAUGCCACUCGAUCUAUACAAUGUCCAACCUAGGUUCAAUAACUUAGGUUCAUGCCACUCGAUAUAUAUAUGUCUUCCUAGAUAUUCUUUUCUAGGUUCACAGUUUACAUAUUCAUAUAUUCUCAUUUAUCUUGUUACCAUCGAGGUUUCUAAUCAACUAGAAGUGUCGAUAUUCAUACAACCUGAACUAUAGUACAUUCAUUUUCAUAUAUGUUUAGACGUAGGCAUCAAACAUUCACUUUCAUAAGCAUUUAACACUAACUUUCUUUAACACUAACUUUCACGUAUCAACAAUUAUAUAUGCUUUAGCAUUUAUGUUCGCAUUUCGACAAUUAUAUUCAUAUGCAUCUAGCAUUCAUGUUCAUAUAAUAAUCAUUAUAAAUCAUCUAGCAUCAACCAUCUUAUGUCAACAAUCAUAUAUGCCUACUCAUAUGCGUCUAGCAUUUAUGUUCGCAUUUCGACAAUCAUAUUCAUAUAUGCGUCAAUGAAACCAUAUUUUUCUUUGGCAUGGAAGUGACCUAAUCACUUCGGUAAACACAACCCACC
Molecule: long non-coding RNA, 1254 nt
Filed under: Ananas comosus (pineapple)
Lineage: Eukaryota; Viridiplantae; Streptophyta; Magnoliopsida; Poales; Bromeliaceae
Description: long non-coding RNA (ACOM_LNC005567)
Source: RNAcentral